Molecule: ribosomal RNA, 440 nt
Filed under: uncultured bacterium
Lineage: Bacteria
Description: partial 16S ribosomal RNA
Rfam family: Bacterial small subunit ribosomal RNA
Source: RNAcentral
CCUACGGGAGGCAGCAGUGGGGAAUAUUGCACAAUGGGGGAAACCCUGAUGCAGCAACGCCGCGUGAGUGAAGAAGGAUUUCGGAAUGUAAAGCCCUCUCGGCAGAGAAGAAAAUGACAGUACCUGACUAAGAAGCCCCGGCUAACUACGUGCCAGCAGCCGCGGUAAUACGUAGGGGGCAAGCGUUAUCCGGAUUUACUGGGUGUAAAGGGAGCGUAGGCGGCAGCGCAAGUCAGAAGUGAAAGCCCGGGGCUCAACCACGGGACUGCUUUUGAAACUGUGUAGCUAGAGUGCAGGAGAGGUAAGUGGAAUUCCUGGUGUAGCGGUGAAAUGCGUAGAUAUCAGGAGGAAAACCAGUGGCGAAGGCGACUUGCUGGACUAUAACUGACGCUGAGGCGCGAAAGCGUGGGGAGCAAACAGGAUUAGAUACCCCAGUAGUC